GUCCACGCCGUAAACGAUGAGUGCUAGGUGCUGCGGGUAUUGACCCCUGCGGUGCCGUAGCUAACGCGUUAAGCACUCCGCCUGGGGAGUACGGCCGCAAGGCUAAAACUCAAAGGAAUUGACGGGGGCCCGCACAAGCGGUGGAGCAUGUGGUUCAAUUCGACGCAACGCGCAGAACCUUACCUGGGUUAAAUCCACUCGAACCUUGCAGAGAUGUGGGGGGUGCUCUUCGAAGAGCGAGUGAGAAGGUGCUGCAUGGCUGUCGU
Molecule: ribosomal RNA, 266 nt
Filed under: uncultured bacterium
Lineage: Bacteria
Description: partial 16S ribosomal RNA
Rfam family: Bacterial small subunit ribosomal RNA
Source: RNAcentral